GUCCUUAGUUGCCAUCAUUAAGUUGGGCACUUUAAGGAGACUGCCGGUGACAAACCGGAGGAAGGUGGGGAUGACGUCAAGUCAUCAUGCCCCUUACAUCCUGGGCUACACACGUACUACAAUGCAACGGACAAAGGGCAGCCAACUAGCGAUAGUGCGCAAAUCCCAUAAACCGUUGCUCAGUUCAGAUUGCAGGCUGCAACUCGCCUGCAUGAAGGCGGAAUCGCUAGUAAUCGCAGGUCAGCAUACUGCGGUGAAUACGUUCCCGGGCCUUGUACACACCGCCCGUCACACCAUGGAAGUUGGCCACGCCCGAAGUCGUUACCCCAACCGUUUACGGAGGGGGACGCCGAAGGCAGGGCUGAUGACUGGGGUGAAGUCGUAACAAGGUAACC
RNAcentral lists this ribosomal RNA (395 nucleotides) under uncultured bacterium. RNAcentral describes it as "bacterial SSU rRNA". It matches the Rfam family "Bacterial small subunit ribosomal RNA", at positions 1107 to 1501 of the family's 1533-position model. The record is from RNAcentral.